UACGAAGGGGGCUAGCGUUGUUCGGAUUUACUGGGCGUAAGGCGCACGUAGGCGGAUCGAUCAGUCAGGGGUGAAAUCCCAGAGCUCAACUCUGGAACUGCCUUUGAUACUGUCGAUCUGGAGUAUGGAAGAGGUAAGUGGAAUUCCGAGUGUAGAGGUGAAAUUCGUAGAUAUUCGGAGGAACACCAGUGGCGAAGGCGGCUUACUGGUCCAUUACUGACGCUGAGGUGCGAAAGCGUGGGGAGCAAACAGG
RNAcentral lists this ribosomal RNA (253 nucleotides) under uncultured bacterium. RNAcentral's name for it is "partial 16S ribosomal RNA". It matches the Rfam family "Bacterial small subunit ribosomal RNA", at positions 524 to 776 of the family's 1533-position model. The record is from RNAcentral.